RNAcentral lists this transfer RNA (69 nucleotides) under Rattus norvegicus (Norway rat). It matches the Rfam family "tRNA". Rfam says of the family: Transfer RNA (tRNA) molecules are approximately 80 nucleotides in length. Their secondary structure includes four short double-helical elements and three loops (D, anti-codon, and T loops). Further hydrogen bonds mediate the characteristic L-shaped molecular structure. tRNAs have two regions of fundamental functional importance: the anti-codon, which is responsible for specific mRNA codon recognition, and the 3' end, to which the tRNAs corresponding amino acid is attached (by aminoacyl-tRNA synthetases). tRNAs cope with the degeneracy of the genetic code in two manners: having more than one tRNA (with a specific anti-codon) for a particular amino acid; and 'wobble' base-pairing, i.e. permitting non-standard base-pairing at the 3rd anti-codon position. Lineage: Eukaryota; Metazoa; Chordata; Mammalia; Rodentia; Muridae. The record is from Rfam by way of RNAcentral.
GGGGAUUUGGCUCAGCGGUAGAGCGCUUGCCUAGCAAGCACAAGGCCCUGGGUUCGGUCCCCAGCUCUG